AUGUCGCAUAACCUGGGAGGGUGAGAACCCUCGACAGGGUUCGACAACGGGCAAAAGCCCGUUGGACAGGCGACGAGCCUGCGAGGAGACUGCCCGAAGGGCGAGCGCCGCGAGUCAAUCCCUCCCUCACCGCCA
This 135-nucleotide small RNA is filed under the name Jejuibacter calystegiae. RNAcentral's name for it is "Izhakiella sp. KSNA2 RtT sRNA". It matches the Rfam family "RtT RNA". From Rfam's summary of the family: This family represents a bacterial cis-regulatory element known as RtT RNA. The exact function of RtT is unknown although it is thought that it may be involved in changing the cellular response in relation to amino acid starvation. Lineage: Bacteria; Pseudomonadati; Pseudomonadota; Gammaproteobacteria; Enterobacterales; Enterobacteriaceae. The record is from RNAcentral.